ACCUACGGGGGGCAGCAGUCGCGAAAACUUUGCAAUACACGAAAGUGUGACAGGGCUAUCCCGAGUGCCAUCCGCUGAGGAAGGCUUUUACCCAGUCUAGAAAGCUGGGGGAAUAAGGAGAGGGCAAGUCUGGUGUCAGCCGCCGCGGUAAUACCAGCUCUCCGAGUGGUGUGGAUGUUUAUUGGGCCUAAAGCAUCCGUAGCUGGCUAAGUUAGUCCCUUGUUAAAUCCACCGAAUUAAUCGUUGGAUCGCGGGGGAUACUGCUUGGCUAGGGGACGAGAGAGGCAGACGGUAUUUUCGGGGUAGGGGUGAAAUCCUAUAAUCCCGGGAAGACCACCAGUGGCGAAGGCUGUCUGCUAGAACGCGCCCGACGGUGAGGGAUGAAAGCUGGGGGAGCGAACCGGAUUAGAUACCCGAGUAGUCC
This 424-nucleotide ribosomal RNA is filed under the name uncultured bacterium. RNAcentral describes it as "bacterial SSU rRNA". It matches the Rfam family "Archaeal small subunit ribosomal RNA", at positions 321 to 747 of the family's 1478-position model. The record is from RNAcentral.